RNAcentral lists this ribosomal RNA (435 nucleotides) under uncultured microorganism. RNAcentral's name for it is "bacterial SSU rRNA". It matches the Rfam family "Bacterial small subunit ribosomal RNA", at positions 346 to 795 of the family's 1533-position model. The record is from RNAcentral.
GGGCUGCAGUCAAGAAUCUUCCGCAAUGGCCGAAAGGCUGACGGAGCGACGCCGCGUGUAGGAAGACGCCCUUCGGGGUGUAAACUACUUUUCUCUGGGACGAAUCCGUGACGGUACCAGAGGAAUAAGCAACUGCUAACCUCGUGCCAGCAGCAGCGGUAAUACGAGGGUUGCAAGCGUUAUCCGGAUUUAUUGGGUGUAAAGCGUCCCCAGGCGGCUUAAAAAGUUUUUAGUAAAAUCUUCGGGCCUAACCCGAAAUCCGCUAAAAAUACUAUUAAGCUAGAGACCGGGAGAGGUCAGCGGAAUGGCCGGUGUAGUAGUUAAAUGCGUUAAUAUCGGCUAGAACACCAAUAGCGAAGGCAGCUGACUAGAACGGUUCUGACGCUCAUAGGACGAAAGCGUGGGUAGCGAAUGGGAUUAGAUACCCCAGUAGUC